Puntigrus tetrazona (Sumatra barb) is the source of this 489-nucleotide long non-coding RNA. RefSeq lists it as uncharacterized. The record is from RefSeq and is a predicted model, not a curated record. The transcript is spliced from 3 exons. Lineage: Eukaryota; Metazoa; Chordata; Actinopteri; Cypriniformes; Cyprinidae.
CAAAAGGAAAUGUCAAGCACAACGUUAAGUAGGUGACAGACAGCCAGUCACCAUAAACUUUCUUUGCAAUUUUUUCCAUACAAUAAAAGUGAAUGGUUACUGAGGCUGUCAGUCUGCCCGACGUCUCUUCUGCUCCUUACAAGUCAUAGAAGUCCGGAACAACAUCAGGCAACUGCUCCACACUGAGAUCUGAUAUCAUCAUCCAGUCGGAGACAACAAACCGUGACAGACUAAAUCCAGAAGAACUGUGGCAACGUCUUCAAGAUGCUUCAAGAGACCUACCUUAAAGCUUUUUACUUCAGAAGACAGAAAUUGAUAGAUUGGAGUUGUGUGGACUCUCAUUCUGACGGCACCCAUUCACUGCACUUCAUAUUUCCAAAUCUGUUAUGAUAAAGACACAAACUUAUCUACAUGAUGGACUGCACGAGAGUAAGUACAUUUCCCGAACUAAACAAAAUAAUUAAAAAUAUUAAAGAAAUGAAUGUAUCC